This is a microRNA precursor of Culex quinquefasciatus (southern house mosquito), 85 nucleotides long. It matches the Rfam family "bantam microRNA precursor family". Lineage: Eukaryota; Metazoa; Arthropoda; Insecta; Diptera; Culicidae. The record is from Rfam.
AAGCAAUCACAGAACCGGUUUUCAUUUUCGAUCUGACUUAUUUGAUUUAACAGAGUGAGAUCAUUUUGAAAGCUGAUUUUGUACG